CCCUUAGAUGUUCUGGGCCGCACGCGCGCUACACUGACGAUGGCAACGAGUUUUUCCUUCGCCGAAAGGUGUGGGUAAUCUUUUGAAACAUCGUCGUGCUGGGGAUAGAUCAUUGCAAUUUUUGGUCUUGAACGAGGAAUUCCUAGUAAGCGCGAGUCAUCAGCUCGCGUUGAUUACGUCCCUGCCCUUUGUACACACCGCCCGUCGCUACUACCGAUUGAAUGGUUUAGUGAGGACUCCUGAUUGGCGCCGCCGCCCCGGCAACGGAGCAGCGGACUGCCGAAAAGUUGUUCAAACUUGAUCAUUUAGAGGAAGUAAAAGUCGUAACA
Molecule: ribosomal RNA, 329 nt
Filed under: uncultured eukaryote
Lineage: Eukaryota
Description: partial 18S ribosomal RNA
Rfam family: Eukaryotic small subunit ribosomal RNA
Source: RNAcentral